This 253-nucleotide ribosomal RNA is filed under the name uncultured bacterium. RNAcentral's name for it is "partial 16S ribosomal RNA". It matches the Rfam family "Bacterial small subunit ribosomal RNA", at positions 524 to 776 of the family's 1533-position model. The record is from RNAcentral.
UACGUAGGGCGCAAGCGUUGUCCGGAAUUAUUGGGCGUAAAGAGCUCGUAGGUGGCGUGUCGCGUCUGCCGUGAAAGCCCAUGGCUUAACUGUGGGUCUGCGAUGGAUACGGGCAGGCUGGAGGCUGGUAGGGGCAAGCGGAAUUCCUGGUGUAGCGGUGAAAUGCGCGGAUAUCAGGAGGAACACCGGUGGCGAAGGCGGCUUGCUGGGCCAGUUCUGACGCUGAGGAGCGAAAGCGUGGGGAGCGAACAGG